UGGGGAAUUUUGGACAAUGGGCGAAAGCCUGAUCCCAGCAAUGCCGCGUGUGUGAAGAAGGCCUUCGGGUUGUAAAGCACUUUUUGUCCGGAAAGAAAUCCUUGGCUCUAAUACAGUCGGGGGAUGACGGUACCGGAAGAAUAAGCACCGGCUAACUACGUGCCAGCAGCCGCGGUAAUACGUAGGGUGCAAGCGUUAAUCGGAAUUACUGGGCGUAAAGCGUGCGCAGGCGGUUUGCUAAGACCGAUGUGAAAUCCCCGGGCUCAACCUGGGAACUGCAUUGGUGACUGGCAGGCUAGAGUAUGGCAGAGGGGGGUAGAAUUCCACGUGUAGCAGUGAAAUGCGUAGAGAUGUGGAGGAAUACCGAUGGCGAAGGCAGCCCCUGGCAAGUACUGACGCUCAUGCACGAAAAGCGUGGGGGAGCAAAAC
This 429-nucleotide ribosomal RNA is filed under the name uncultured bacterium. RNAcentral describes it as "partial 16S ribosomal RNA". It matches the Rfam family "Bacterial small subunit ribosomal RNA", at positions 355 to 774 of the family's 1533-position model. The record is from RNAcentral.